This 1241-nucleotide ribosomal RNA is filed under the name metagenome. RNAcentral describes it as "bacterial LSU rRNA". It matches the Rfam family "Bacterial large subunit ribosomal RNA", at positions 1564 to 2813 of the family's 2925-position model. The record is from RNAcentral.
UGAAUACGAGAUGCUACGGCGUCGAAGCAGUGUAUGUCAGACUUCCAAGAAAAGCUCGCAAUGUCAUAAAUAAAGAAUGCCUGUACCAUAACCGACACAGGUGGGUAGGUAGAGUAUACUAAGGGGCGCGAGAUAACUCUCUCUAAGGAACUCGGCAAAAUAACUCCGUAACUUCGGGAGAAGGAGUGCCUUCUUUAAGAAGGUUGCAAUAACAAGAUCCAAGCAACUGUUUAUCAAAAACACAGGUCUCCGCUAAGUCGUAAGACGAUGUAUGGGGGCUGACGCCUGCCCAGUGCCAGAAGGUUAAAGAAGUUGGUUAGCUUUUGCGAAGCUGAUGACUGAAGCCCUGGUGAACGGCGGCCGUAACUAUAACGGUCCUAAGGUAGCGAAAUUCCUUGUCGGGUAAGUUCCGACCCGCACGAAAGGCGUAAUGAUUUGGAUACUGUCUCGGAGAGGGACUCGGUGAAAUAGACUUGUCUGUGAAGAUGCGGACUACCUGCACCAGGACAGAAAGACCCUAUGAAGCUUUACUGUAACUUGAAAUUGAAAUUGGACUUUAUUUGCGCAGUAUAGGUGGAAGGCGUUGAAAGUAAUCUUGCGGGAUUAGUGGAGCCAUCAGUGAGAUACCACUCCUAUAAUGUUAGAUUUCUAACUUUGGAUCAUGAUCUGGUCAAAGAACAGUUUCAGGCGGGCAGUUUGACUGGGGCGGUCGCCUCCCAAAUGGUAACGGAGGCGUACAAAGGUUUCCUCUGAACGGGUAGAAAUCGUAUCUAGAGUGUAAAGGCAUAAGGAAGCUUGACUGUGAGACCUACAAGUCGAGCAGGGACGAAAGUCGGUCUUAGUGAUCUGACGGUGCUGAGUGGAAAGGCCGUCACUCAACGGAUAAAAGUUACUCUAAGGAUAACAGGCUGAUCUCCCCCAAGAGUUCACAUCGACGGGGAGGUUUGGCACCUCGAUGUCGGCUCAUCGCAUCCUGGGGCGGUAGUACGUCCCAAGGGUUGGGCUGUUCGCCCAUGAAAGCGGUACGCGAGCUGGGUUCAGAACGUCGUGAGACAGUUCGGUCCAUAUCCGGUGUAGGCGUUAGAAUAUUGAGAGGAGCCUUCUUUAGUACGAGAGGACCGAGAAGGACAUACCUCUGGUGUACCAGUUAUCGUGCCAACGGUAAACGCUGGGUAGCUAUGUAUGGAGAGGAUAACCGCUGAAAGCAUCUAAGUGGGAAGCCCACCUCAAGAUGAGUAUUC